AUGGUACUACGGGACAACACUGGACAGCUCAUCUUCGCUGCGUACCGGGUGAUAUUCCACUGUAAUGACGCUCUGAAAGCCGAAUUACAAGCGAUAAUGCAAGGCAUGGCUUUGGCCAUCCAACAUUCUACACUUCAAGUGGUCGUUCAGACGGACUCGGUGGAAGCGCUCUCAAGUUUGUUGAGCAAGGGACUGGAGCGUUCGGCGUAUGGGCAUCUGGUUCGCGAGAUCAAGGAGUUGAUUGUAACACUAUUAUCCAGUAAUAAAACUCCUUUACCCCGAAAAAAGAAACUUGCAUGGACGGCGUGGACCUAA
Molecule: ribosomal RNA, 315 nt
Filed under: Triticum aestivum (bread wheat)
Lineage: Eukaryota; Viridiplantae; Streptophyta; Magnoliopsida; Poales; Poaceae
Description: partial small subunit ribosomal RNA
Source: RNAcentral